This 497-nucleotide ribosomal RNA is filed under the name uncultured bacterium. Its description in RNAcentral is "partial 16S ribosomal RNA". It matches the Rfam family "Bacterial small subunit ribosomal RNA", at positions 36 to 507 of the family's 1533-position model. The record is from RNAcentral.
UCUUCCCUCUUUCUUCGUGCCUAAUACAUGCAAGUCGAGCGAACAGACGAGGAGCUUGCUCCUCUGACGUUAGCGGCGGACGGGCGAGUAACACGUGGAUAACCUACCUAUAAGACUGGGAUAACUUCGGGAAACCGGAGCUAAUACCGGAUAAUAUAUUGAACCGCAUGGUUCAAUAGUGAAAGACGGUUUUGCUGUCACUUAUAGAUGGAUCCGCGCCGCAUUAGCUAGUUGGUAAGGUAACGGCUUACCAAGGCAACGAUGCGUAGCCGACCUGAGAGGGUGAUCGGCCACACUGGAACUGAGACACGGUCCAGACUCCUACGGGAGGCAGCAGUAGGGAAUCUUCCGCAAUGGGCGAAAGCCUGACGGAGCAACGCCGCGUGAGUGAUGAAGGUCUUCGGAUCGUAAAACUCUGUUAUUGGGGAAGAACAAAUGUGUAAGUAACUAUGCACGUCUUGACGGUACCUAAUCAGAAAGCCACGGCUAACUACGUG